Molecule: ribosomal RNA, 253 nt
Filed under: uncultured bacterium
Lineage: Bacteria
Description: partial 16S ribosomal RNA
Rfam family: Bacterial small subunit ribosomal RNA
Source: RNAcentral
UACGAAGGGGGCGAGCGUUGUUCGGAAUUACUGGGCGUAAAGGGCGCGUAGGCGGUUUGACAAGUCAGGCGUGAAAUUCCCGGGCUUAACCUGGGGGCUGCGCUUGAUACUGUCGAGCUUGAAUUCGGGAGAGGAUGGCGGAAUUCCCAGUGUAGAGGUGAAAUUCGUAGAUAUUGGGAAGAACACCGGUGGCGAAGGCGGCCAUCUGGCCCGACAUUGACGCUGAGGCGCGAAAGCGUGGGGAGCAAACAGG